RNAcentral lists this ribosomal RNA (460 nucleotides) under uncultured Flavobacterium sp. RNAcentral describes it as "bacterial SSU rRNA". It matches the Rfam family "Bacterial small subunit ribosomal RNA", at positions 338 to 795 of the family's 1533-position model. Lineage: Bacteria; Pseudomonadati; Bacteroidota; Flavobacteriia; Flavobacteriales; Flavobacteriaceae. The record is from RNAcentral.
CCUACGGGAGGCUGCAGUGAGGAAUAUUGGUCAAUGGGCGGAAGACUGAACCAGCCAUGCCGCGUGCAGGAAGAAGCAUCUAUGGUGUGUAAACUGCUUUUGUACGGGAAGAAACACUCCUACGUGUAGGAGCUUGACGGUACCGUAAGAAUAAGGAUCGGCUAACUCCGUGCCAGCAGCCGCGGUAAUACGGAGGAUCCAAGCGUUAUCCGGAAUCAUUGGGUUUAAAGGGUCCGUAGGCGGUUGAAUAAGUCAGUGGUGAAAUCCGGCAGCUUAACUGUCGAACUGCCAUUGAUACUGUUUAACUUGAAUUACUGUGAAGUAACUAGAAUAUGUAGUGUAGCGGUGAAAUGCUUAGAUAUUACAUGGAAUACCAAUUGCGAAGGCAGGUUACUAAUGGUUUAUUGACGCUGAUGGACGAAAGCGUGGGGAGCGAACAGGCUUAGAUACCCCGGUAGUC